This 546-nucleotide ribosomal RNA is filed under the name Rahnella sp. Z5S2-T3. RNAcentral's name for it is "bacterial SSU rRNA". It matches the Rfam family "Bacterial small subunit ribosomal RNA", at positions 38 to 575 of the family's 1533-position model. The record is from RNAcentral. Lineage: Bacteria; Pseudomonadati; Pseudomonadota; Gammaproteobacteria; Enterobacterales; Yersiniaceae.
GGCGGCAGGCCUAACACAUGCAAGUCGAGCGGCAGCGGGAAGUAGCUUGCUACUUUGCCGGCGAGCGGCGGACGGGUGAGUAAUGUCUGGGAAACUGCCUGAUGGAGGGGGAUAACUACUGGAAACGGUAGCUAAUACCGCAUGACCUCGCAAGAGCAAAGUGGGGGACCUUCGGGCCUCACGCCAUCGGAUGUGCCCAGAUGGGAUUAGCUAGUAGGUGAGGUAAUGGCUCACCUAGGCGACGAUCCCUAGCUGGUCUGAGAGGAUGACCAGCCACACUGGAACUGAGACACGGUCCAGACUCCUACGGGAGGCAGCAGUGGGGAAUAUUGCACAAUGGGCGCAAGCCUGAUGCAGCCAUGCCGCGUGUGUGAAGAAGGCCUUAGGGUUGUAAAGCACUUUCAGCGAGGAGGAAGGGUUCAGUGUUAAUAGCACUGUACAUUGACGUUACUCGCAGAAGAAGCACCGGCUAACUCCGUGCCAGCAGCCGCGGUAAUACGAGGUGCAAGCGUUAAUCGGAAUUACUGGGCGUAAAGCGCACGCAGG